GGUUUAAAAUUUGCUUUGGAAAAUGUCUUGGAAAAUAAAAAAAAAGCAGAGGAAAAAAAAUGGGAAGAACCCCGCAGCCCAGCACCCCCUCCUCCCCACUUUGGCCCAAAACGUGGACCGGCCCAGCAGCAGCAGGCGCGCCUUGCUUCCCCCUCUCCUCUUUGACCGACAGUUGGACCCCACCUUCGCUCUCACUGACACGCAGGACCCACGGAGCAGGGACCCUUCCUUCUCAUUUCCUUGCGCCGUGGUCGAACAGGUCUCCACCGGGGAAACCAACUCCGGCUAUUCCGGCGAUUUAUUUGCCCUUUUAGCGAAUCGAGUCCUAUAAAGCCCUAGGAACCUUCCCCC
Molecule: long non-coding RNA, 351 nt
Filed under: Sorghum bicolor (sorghum)
Lineage: Eukaryota; Viridiplantae; Streptophyta; Magnoliopsida; Poales; Poaceae
Description: long non-coding RNA (SBIC_LNC012704)
Source: RNAcentral